This 200-nucleotide ribosomal RNA is filed under the name uncultured organism. RNAcentral describes it as "partial small subunit ribosomal RNA". It matches the Rfam family "Bacterial small subunit ribosomal RNA", at positions 1182 to 1382 of the family's 1533-position model. The record is from RNAcentral.
ACGUCAAGUCAUCAUGGCCCUUAUGGGCUGGGCUACACACGUGCUACAAUGGCGGUGACAAUGGGCAGCCACCCAGCGAUGGGGAGCUAAUCCCAAAAAGCCGUCUCAGUUCGGAUUGCACUCUGCAACUCGAGUGCAUGAAGUCGGAAUCGCUAGUAAUCGCGGAUCAGCAUGCCGCGGUGAAUACGUUCCCGGGCCUU